GAUGAACGCUAGCGGCAGGCCUAACACAUGCAAGUCGAGGGGUAGCAGGAUAAAGCUUGCUUUAUUGCUGACGACCGGCGCACGGGUGCGUAACGCGUAUGCAACCUACCUUAUACUGGGGUAUAGCCCGGAGAAAUUCGGAUUAAUCCCCCAUAGUAUUAUCGAUUCGCAUGUUUUGAUAAUUAAAGGUUUCGGUAUAAGAUUGGCAUGCGUCCCAUUAGCUAGAUGGUGAGGUGACGGAUCACCAUGGCGACGAUGGGUAGGGGGCCUGGGAGAGUGGUCCCCCGCACUGGUACUGACACACGGACCAGACUCCUACGAGAGGGAGCAGUGAGGAAUAUUGGUCAAUGGGCGCAAGCCUGAACCAGCCAUGCCGCGUGCAGGAAGAAGGUCCUAUGGAUUGUAAACUGCUUUUAUUAGGGAAUAAACCUCUUUACGUGUAGAGAGCUGAAGGUACCUAAUGAAUAAGCACCGGCUAACUCCGUGCCAGCCGCCGCAGUAA
This 502-nucleotide ribosomal RNA is filed under the name uncultured bacterium. RNAcentral's name for it is "partial 16S ribosomal RNA". It matches the Rfam family "Bacterial small subunit ribosomal RNA", at positions 28 to 523 of the family's 1533-position model. The record is from RNAcentral.